Molecule: ribosomal RNA, 636 nt
Filed under: uncultured bacterium
Lineage: Bacteria
Description: bacterial SSU rRNA
Rfam family: Bacterial small subunit ribosomal RNA
Source: RNAcentral
GCUCAACCGGGGAGGGUCAUUGGAAACUGGGGAACUUGAGUGCAGAAGAGGAGAGUGGAAUUCCACGUGUAGCGGUGAAAUGCGUAGAGAUGUGGAGGAGCACCAGUGGCGAAGGCGACUCUCUGGUCUGUAACUGACGCUGAGGCGCGAAAGCGUGGGGAGCGAACAGGAUUAGAUACCCUGGUAGUCCACGCCGUAAACGAUGAGUGCUAAGUGUUAGAGGGUUUCCGCCCUUUAGUGCUGCAGCAAACGCAUUAAGCACUCCGCCUGGGGAGUACGGUCGCAAGACUGAAACUCAAAGGAAUUGACGGGGGCCCGCACAAGCGGUGGAGCAUGUGGUUUAAUUCGAAGCAACGCGAAGAACCUUACCAGGUCUUGACAUCCUCUGACAACCCUAGAGAUAGGGCUUCCCCUUCGGGGGCAGAGUGACAGGUGGUGCAUGGUUGUCGUCAGCUCGUGUCGUGAGAUGUUGGGUUAAGUCCCGCAACGAGCGCAACCCUUGAUCUUAGUUGCCAGCAUUCAGUUGGGCACUCUAAGGUGACUGCCGGUGACAAACCGGAGGAAGGUGGGGAUGACGUCAAAUCAUCAUGCCCCUUAUGACCUGGCUACACACGUGCUACAAUGGGCAGAACAAAG